Molecule: ribosomal RNA, 311 nt
Filed under: uncultured bacterium
Lineage: Bacteria
Description: bacterial SSU rRNA
Rfam family: Bacterial small subunit ribosomal RNA
Source: RNAcentral
GACGAACGCUGGCGGCGUGCCUAACACAUGCAAGUCGAGCGGGGACUUGGGAGCUUGCUUCCAAGUUCUAGCGGCGGACGGGUGAGUAACGCGUGAGCAACCUGCCUCAAACAGGGGGAUAACGCAUCGAAAGAUGUGCUAAUACCGCGUAAGACCACAGUGCCACAUGGCACAGGGGUCAAAGGAGCAAUCCGGUUUGAGAUGGGCUCGCGUCCGAUUAGCUAGUUGGUGAGAUAACGGCCCACCAAGGCGACGAUCGGUAGCCGACCUGAGAGGGUGAUCGGCCACAUUGGAACUGAGAAACGGUCCAG